Molecule: small nuclear RNA, 147 nt
Organism: Heterocephalus glaber (naked mole-rat)
Lineage: Eukaryota; Metazoa; Chordata; Mammalia; Rodentia; Bathyergidae
Gene: U4
Rfam family: U4 spliceosomal RNA
About the family: U4 small nuclear RNA (U4 snRNA) is a component of the major U2-dependent spliceosome. The structure of U4 snRNA from yeast and human has been reported.
Source: Ensembl
AGCUUUGCACAGUGGCAGUAUUGUAGCCAGUGAGGUUUAUCCGAAGUGCAAUUAUUGCUAAUUAAAGCAUGGAAUUCUUGUAACAUUUCCUUCCCUUUGGAAGGUAUGUAGCUGUAGGUGGCACAUUAUUCUAUUGUUCUUAAGAAU